UUUCAAUCUCAAUCUCCAACGUGGCAUUUGAGAAUCCAAUCUAUAUAUUCUCAUUCUCACUUUUAAAACAAAAGUCACGCCUCCCUCUUCCUCACGCCUCCCUCUUCCUCACCCCAUCGCCGUCGUCCCUGAAUCCGGUCGGCGUCGUCUCCCCCUUCACUGUCUCUCUCUUCUCUCAAUCAUUUUCUCUCUCUAAAGUCGAUUGCACACUCAAAUCGAGCCCUAAUUCCCCCC
RNAcentral lists this long non-coding RNA (234 nucleotides) under Salvia miltiorrhiza (redroot sage). RNAcentral describes it as "long non-coding RNA (SMIL_LNC003131)". The record is from RNAcentral. Lineage: Eukaryota; Viridiplantae; Streptophyta; Magnoliopsida; Lamiales; Lamiaceae.